RNAcentral lists this long non-coding RNA (913 nucleotides) under Solanum tuberosum (potato). RNAcentral describes it as "long non-coding RNA (STUB_LNC000728)". Lineage: Eukaryota; Viridiplantae; Streptophyta; Magnoliopsida; Solanales; Solanaceae. The record is from RNAcentral.
AUUAUAUAAUUGAGCUAAAUGACUGAUAGAACUUAUGUCAAUGCUCUAUACAAUUUCUGUAGAUUUUUUGUCAACUCUUAGAACUCCACGUCUCCUAUAGUUAUGAUAAGGAAGAGACAUCUUAUAUUAACAUCAUGUCUUUUUUGUACAACUAUAUAAGCAAGCAAAUAGAACUGAUGUCAACUCUCUAUAGAAUUUUGCUAGAUUUUUUCCCAACUCCUCACCCCGGCCCUCCUCUUCUACAACUAUGAUUUAAAAAAGAAUUGCAAUGUAAAUCUUCAAUCCCCAACUCCACACCUCCGAACCUCCUCUUCAAUAACUGUGAUUUAAAAAAGAAUUGCAAUGUAAAUCUUCAAAUGCUCGCAGUCCACUAAAAAUUAUAUGCAAGUAUGAGAUUACAUUUACAAGUAACUUACCUUCCCUGGGAACUAAGCCAAAUUUUCGUACUUAGGAAAUGAACUCUUUGUCUACACUUCUAAAAUAGUACACGUACACACCACAAUUGAAAAUUAUCUUCCCAAAUUAAGACGGCAGAGGCAACCAUUGAUUGUUAUUGUUUAUUUGAAAGAACAUGAAGCCAUAUGUAAAUUAUUGUUUUUUUUUGCAUAUGCUUUUUGCCAGAAAUCAUUCGCAAGGCAGCCAAGAUCAAAUAGCAUAGAUUACAAUCACACAAAUCAUUAUUUUCCAAAAUUGAAGAACAAAUAAAGAGUGAGAGAAGAGAAAGGGAGAGGGACUUACCGGUACAAGAGAACAGAGGAAUGAGAAGUGAACUCGGUUGGUGCCUAUUUAUUUGUGUCAAACACCUAGAGUAAUUCUAGAAAAAUCACAUUAGUUGUGGUUUCUAGAAAAAUCAGGUGAUUUGUGGAGGAAAUAUACCACAAAGUUGAUGGAAUUUUAAAAAUAAAAUAGAUAU